This is a non-coding RNA of Cinara cedri, 244 nucleotides long. The record is from the annotation of a GenBank genome assembly. NCBI's taxonomy places the organism in Eukaryota, Metazoa, Arthropoda, Insecta, Hemiptera, Aphididae.
AUUCCGACUUUUCACUCUAUUUGGGUCACGACGGUCAAUUGAAUUUUCGGUGUUAUCGCCAUCGUAUUCUAUAUCUGCGAUAGAUUUAAUUGUACAGGUGAAAUGACGAAUUACAGAUAUUUAAGAAAAAAAAAAAAAAAAACGAUAUUUACCAUGAAUCCUACGGAUGACUUUUGCUCCGAACGCUUGUACCUAUUAUUAAUGGUGAAAAUCAAGAAAACGCUAAAACACGCAUAUCUUGAUG